ACGGAUGUAGCUCAAUGGUAGAGCUAUGGUCUCCAAAACCAACGACGAGGGUUCGAUUCCUUCCAUCCGUG
RNAcentral lists this transfer RNA (71 nucleotides) under marine bacterium AO1-C. It matches the Rfam family "tRNA". Rfam says of the family: Transfer RNA (tRNA) molecules are approximately 80 nucleotides in length. Their secondary structure includes four short double-helical elements and three loops (D, anti-codon, and T loops). The record is from Rfam by way of RNAcentral. Lineage: Bacteria; Pseudomonadati; Bacteroidota; Cytophagia; Cytophagales; Cytophagaceae.